Molecule: ribosomal RNA, 930 nt
Filed under: uncultured bacterium
Lineage: Bacteria
Description: bacterial SSU rRNA
Rfam family: Bacterial small subunit ribosomal RNA
Source: RNAcentral
AGAGUUUGAUCCUGGCUCAGAAUCAACGCUGGCGGCGUGCCUAACACAUGCAAGUCGAACGCGAAAGUGGAGCAAUCCAUGAGUAGAGUGGCAAACGGGUGAGUAACGCGUGGGCGACCUACCUCUGAGUGGGGGAUAACCUUCCGAAAGGAGGGCUAAUACCGCAUGACAUCCCGUGUUUGGGUACACGGACAUCAAAGCCGGGGAUCGCAAGACCUGGCGCUUGGAGAGGGGCCCGCGUCCGAUUAGCUAGUUGGUGGGGUAACGGCCUACCAAGGCUCCGAUCGGUAUCCGGCCUGAGAGGGCGGACGGACACACUGGAACUGAGACACGGUCCAGACUCCUACGGGAGGCAGCAGUGGGGAAUUGUUCACAAUGGGCGCAAGCCUGAUGACGCAACGCCGCGUGGAGGAUGAAGACUUUCGGGUCGUAAACUCCUUUCGACCGAGAUGAAUUCCCGACGGCCUAAUACGCCGGCGGGGUGACAGUAUCGAGGGAAGAAACCCCGGCUAACUCUGUGCCAGCAGCCGCGGUAAUACAGGGGGGGUAAGCGUUGUUCGGAAUUACUGGGCGUAAAGGGUUCGUAGGUGGCUUGCUAAGUCUGACGUGAAAUCCCUCAGCUUAACUGGGGAACUGCGUCUGAUACUGGCGAGCUUGAGUGCAGGAGAGGAACGCGGAAUUCCAGGUGUAGCGGUGAAAUGCGUAGAUAUCUGGAGGAACACCGGUGGCGAAGGCGGCGUUCUGGACUGCAACUGACACUGAGGAACGAAAGCCAGGGGAGCAAACGGGAUUAGAUACCCCGGUAGUCCUGGCCCUAAACGAUGAAUGCUUGGUGUGGCGGGUAUCGAUCCCCGCUGUGCCGAAGUUAACGCGUUAAGCAUUCCGCCUGGGGAGUACGGUCGCAAGGCUGAAACUCAAAGGAAUUGACGG